ACUGGCUCCAUGAAGAGUCAGGAAGCUGGUGACAAAGAAAUCGGAGGGCUGGAGGGUAAAAGCAGGCGAAGGUGAUACUCAGAGGAGAAGGACACUGGAGAAGUCAGUCCUGAACCCACCAAUGAGGCUUGCCCUCUCUCACCUGCUGCCAUGUAAGAUGUGCCUGCUUCACCUUCCGCCAUGAUUGUCAGUUUCCUGAGGCCUCCCCAGCCAUGUGGAACUAACACCUGGCCCCUUUCCUAUGAAGAUACCCCAAGGUCUCAUCCAAGCAAUGCACCUAACUCAACAUCGAGGAUUACUGGGUGAAAUAUACCCCUCUCUGUUCCAUCUAGAUGUGGCUUCUUGUGAUCCGGCUUUUGUGAAGGAAGAGAAGGCCCCUGAACCAUCCAUGGACGGCAGUUAUCAAGUCUACAGAAACAUCAAAUGAAAGUUAUCUUACCAAGUGUUAUCAUCUCUACUCAAAAACUCUACUGGCAAGUAAAUCAGAAGAAAUGGGCUAAAAUUACAACAUGAAAAAUAUAAGUUAGGCAUGCAGGGAAGUUUCCUACCUUAGAGGGUUGGUACAUAUUGUUAAAUAUCUUGAGGUUAGUUGACAGCUUUUCCUUCCAAAUCUGUCUGUGGGGAGUGAUGAGGGAAGGAGAGAAAUGACUGACAUUUAUUGUUAAGAAGGAGCUGGAAGUCUCAUGCAUGGUAUCAUAUUAACAUCACAUAAGCCCAGCCAGGGAUGUAUUAAGAACCUUAUAUAUUCAGAAAAGAAUUCAGGAUUGUUUGAGUUGGAUACAUUAUCCCCCAAGGUAAUACUGUUAGGAAAUGGUGGGAUUGGCCUUAAACCUAGCCUCUGAUGUUCCACAUUAUCACAUUUUGAUUUUUAAGAUAUGCACCUGGAUUUGGAAAGUUUUAUUGGCUAUAGGACAAGCAGGGAGAUAGACAAAGUUAAUGCUCACAAAGUCCUUUUCAAUCCCAGACAUCUGUGAGUCUAUGAUAUGUAACAAAUUAUUUCCUCUGCAGACCCAAACCGUAGGCUACAUUGUACAUAUUUUUUCCUUGUUUUCAGCUGUCAGCUACUUGACUGCCCCUCAUGGCCACUUUUCAAGUCUUGAUUGCCAAGCAUUUAUUUUCUUUUUCCAGUUUGUCUGGAAGACAGAAUGCCUCAGGAAGGGAUUGUUGGGUUUUUCAUAUAAAGCACGUGAAAUAUCUGUAAUUAUGGAUUACAUUUUUGUACCCAAUAUAUGGCUGAAAGGAGUCCUGUGAUAGAAACUUUUAGAAGAUAAUUGAAUGUGUCAGCUGCAUCAAGAAAUUAUGUACUUGCUUCACUUCAACAAACUGUGAUAAAUAGUCUAUUGUC
This 1345-nucleotide long non-coding RNA is filed under the name Homo sapiens (human). RNAcentral's name for it is "cervical cancer-associated transcript 37". The record is from RNAcentral. Lineage: Eukaryota; Metazoa; Chordata; Mammalia; Primates; Hominidae.